RNAcentral lists this ribosomal RNA (253 nucleotides) under uncultured bacterium. RNAcentral's name for it is "partial 16S ribosomal RNA". It matches the Rfam family "Bacterial small subunit ribosomal RNA", at positions 524 to 776 of the family's 1533-position model. The record is from RNAcentral.
UACGGGGGGGGCAAGCGUUGUUCGGAAUUACUGGGCGUAAAGGGCGCGUAGGCGGUUGGAUAAGUCAGCUGUGAAAACCACGAGCUUAACUCGUGGCCUGCAGUUGAGACUGUCUGGCUUGAGUGUGGGAGAGGAGAGUGGAAUUCCUGGUGUAGCGGUGAAAUGCGUAGAUAUCGUCAAGAACACCUAUAGCGAAGGCAGCUUACUAGGCUGUAACUGACGCUGAGGCACGAAAGUGUGGGGAUCAAACAGG